UCAGCCCCAGGCACAGAAGAGACGAUUCACAGAGGAGCUACCAGAUGAACGGGAAUCUGGACUGCUUGGAUACCAGGUACAGGCUUCUCCAGUCAGAAUGAGAUUGAAGGUGCAGGAUCGAAGCCAGCAAGUUCCUCAGGCAAAGAGAGAGAGAGGGACAGGCAGUUGAUGCCUCCACCAGCCUUUCCAGUGACUGGAAUAAAAACAGAGUCCGAUGAAAGGAAUGGGUCUGGGACCUUAACAGGGAGCCAUGGUGAGUGUGGUGUAGCUGGGGGAACAGGGGAGUGACUAACUAAGGCUGGUCUAAAACUAUUAGUUUUCUCAGCCGGGCGCGGUGGCUCACGCCUGUAAUCCCAGCACUUUGGGAGGCCAAGAUGGGCGGAUAACCUGAGGUCAGGAGUUUGAGACCAGCGUGGCUAACACGGUGAAACCUCGUCUCUACUAAAAAUAGAAAAAUUAAGCUGGGCAUGGUGGUGCAUGCCUGUAAUUCCAGCGACUUGGAAGGCUGAGGCAGGAGAAUCGCUUGAACUUGGGAGGUGGAGGUUGCAGUGAGCC
RNAcentral lists this small RNA (555 nucleotides) under Pongo abelii (Sumatran orangutan). Its description in RNAcentral is "processed transcript". Lineage: Eukaryota; Metazoa; Chordata; Mammalia; Primates; Hominidae. The record is from RNAcentral.